This 589-nucleotide ribosomal RNA is filed under the name Salmonella enterica subsp. enterica serovar Muenster. Its description in RNAcentral is "bacterial LSU rRNA". It matches the Rfam family "Bacterial large subunit ribosomal RNA", at positions 436 to 1026 of the family's 2925-position model. The record is from RNAcentral. Lineage: Bacteria; Pseudomonadati; Pseudomonadota; Gammaproteobacteria; Enterobacterales; Enterobacteriaceae.
GUCGGAAUCUGGGAGGACCAUCUCCCAAGGCUAAAUACUCUCUAGUGACCGAUAGUGAACCAGUACCGUGAGGGAAAGGUGAAAAGCACCCCGGAAGGGGAGUGAAAUAGAACCUGAAACCGUGUGCUUACAAAUAGUCAGAGCCCGUUAAUGGGUGAUGGCGUGCCUUUUGUAGAAUGAACCGGCGAGUUACGAUUUGAUGCAAGGUUAAGCAGUAAAUGUGGAGCCGUAGCGAAAGCGAGUCUGAAUAGGGCGAAUGAGUAUCUGGUCGUAGACCCGAAACCAAGUGAUCUACCCAUGUCCAGGUUGAAGUUCAGGUAACACUGAAUGGAGGACCGAACCGACUUACGUUGAAAAGUGAGCGGAUGAGGUGUGGGUAGCGGAGAAAUUCCAAUCGAACUUGGAGAUAGCUGGUUCUCUCCGAAAUAGCUUUAGGGCUAGCCUCAAGUGAUGAUUAUUGGAGGUAGAGCACUGUUUGGACGAGGGGCCCCUCUCGGGUUACCGAAUUCAGACAAACUCCGAAUGCCAAAUAAUUUAACUUGGGAGUCAGACUAUGGGUGAUAAGGUCCGUAGUCGAAAGGGAAACAGC